GAAGCGUUGGCACGUUGUCGUCUUCGUCGAGUGAGAAGCAGAAUCGUCGCCGUUCAGAUAGAUCGUUGGAGGCAAAAUCGUGUUUGUUGCAGUUCAGUCUUCGUCGCCGCUGUUGGUCGCCAUGGCCGCCAUUCCUUCCACAAACUCAGCCUCUUUGAUUUCUGUAAUUUUUAUUUACCUUAAACAUUUAUUAAUUACUAUGGCAUUGUUGAGAUUUUCUGUGAUUUUUUAAGUUAG
This 237-nucleotide long non-coding RNA is filed under the name Arachis ipaensis. Its description in RNAcentral is "long non-coding RNA (AIPA_LNC001906)". Lineage: Eukaryota; Viridiplantae; Streptophyta; Magnoliopsida; Fabales; Fabaceae. The record is from RNAcentral.